Molecule: non-coding RNA, 77 nt
Organism: Ceratotherium simum simum (southern white rhinoceros)
Lineage: Eukaryota; Metazoa; Chordata; Mammalia; Perissodactyla; Rhinocerotidae
Source: RefSeq, a predicted model, not a curated record
GAGAAGGUGCUCACCGGCACUCCUCGCCCUCCAGCAGCUUGCGGUAGGUGGCGAUCUCCACGUCCAGGGCCAGCUUG